Molecule: microRNA precursor, 82 nt
Organism: Gorilla gorilla gorilla (western lowland gorilla)
Lineage: Eukaryota; Metazoa; Chordata; Mammalia; Primates; Hominidae
Source: Ensembl
CACAACUGCAUGGCAUCAUCCCCUGGUGGCUGUGGCCUAGGGCAAGCCACAAAGCCACUCGGUGAUGAUGCCAGCAGUUGUG